This is a long non-coding RNA of Dryobates pubescens (Downy woodpecker), 196 nucleotides long. RefSeq lists it as uncharacterized. The transcript has 3 exons. The record is from RefSeq and is a predicted model, not a curated record. NCBI's taxonomy places the organism in Eukaryota, Metazoa, Chordata, Aves, Piciformes, Picidae.
AGCUUUUCUCCCCAGUAUGACUCCUAUGACGUGAAGGCUGGCUCAGCUGGUAUCGGUUACCAACAGCCCAUUAGUGGCUUCCCAGGACCCCCUGGCCCCAGUGGCCCCCCUGGCCCACCUGGUCAUGCAGGUCCACCUGGCUCUGCUGGAUAUCAAGGUUCCCCUGGAGAACCAGGACAGCCUGGCCCUCCUGUAC